RNAcentral lists this ribosomal RNA (1451 nucleotides) under uncultured Bordetella sp. Its description in RNAcentral is "partial 16S-23S ribosomal RNA intergenic spacer". It matches the Rfam family "Bacterial small subunit ribosomal RNA". The record is from RNAcentral. Lineage: Bacteria; Pseudomonadati; Pseudomonadota; Betaproteobacteria; Burkholderiales; Alcaligenaceae.
GGUUCGAUCAUGGCUCAGGUUGAACGCUGGCCCGGGAUGCUUUACACAUGCAAGUCGAACGGCAGCACGGACUUCGGUCUGGUGGCGAGUGGCGAACAGGGUGAAUAAUGUAUCGGAGCGAUAUACCUAAUGGCAGGGGGAUAACUACGCGAAAGCGUAGCUAAUACCACAUACGCCCUUCGGGGGAAAGCGGGGGGACCUUCGGGCCUCGCACUAUUAGAGCGGCCGAUAUCAGUUAGCUAGUUGGUGGGAGUAACGGCUCACCAAGGCGACGAUCCGUAGCUGGUUUGAAGGACGACCAACCACACUGGGACUGAGAUACAGCCCAGACUCCUGCAGAGGAGGCAGCAGUGGGGAAUUUUGGACAAUGGGGAAACCCUGAUCCAGCCAUCCGCGUGUGCGAUGAAGGCCUUCCGGGUUAAAAGCCUUGCGGGGAAAAACGGCUGGGAUAAUACCCCGUGCAACUGACGGUACCUGCGAAUAACCUCAGCUAACUACGUGCCAGCAGCCGCGGUAAUACGUAGGGUGCAAGCGUUAAUCGGAAUUACUGGGCGUAAAGCGUGCGCAGGCGGUUCGGAAAGAAAGAUGUGAAAUCCCAGAGCUUAACUUUGGAACUGCAUUUUUAACUACCGAGCUAGAGUGUGUCAGAGGAGUGGAAUUCCGCGUGUAGCAGUGAAAUGCGUGAAUAUGCAGAGAGGAACACCGGCCGAAGAGCAGCCUCCUGGGAUAACACUGACGGCAUGCACGAAAGCGUGGGGAGCAAACAGGAUUAGAUACCCUGGUAGUCCACGCCCUAAACGACCUCAUCCCAACUAGCUGUUUGGGGCCUUCCAAGGCCUUAGUAGCCGCAAUAACACCGUGAAUUGACCGCCUGGGGAAGUCUGAUCCUGGUCAAACUCAAGGAAUUGACGGGGACCCGCACAAGCGGUGGAUGAUGUGAUUAAUUCGAUGCAACGCGAAAAACGCCACUACCCUUGACAUCUGGAAUCCCGAAGAGAUUUGGGAGUGCUGCAGAAACCGGAACACAGGUGCUGCAUGGCUGUCGUCAGCUCGUGUCGUGAGAUGUUGGGUUAAGUCCACGCAGCGAGCGCAACCCUUGUCAUUAGUUGCUACGAAGGGCACUCUAAUGAGACUGCCGAAGUGACAGCGAAGCCGGAGGAAGGUGGGGAUGACGUCAAGUCCUCAUGGCCCUUAUCGGGUAGGGCUUCACACGUCAUACAAUGGUCGCGGGACAGAGGGUCGCCAACCCGCGAGGGCCAAACCCAGAAACCCGAUCGUAGUCCGGAUCGCAGUCUGCAACUCGACUGCGUGAAGUCGGAAUCGCUAGUAAUGCGGAUCAGCAUGUCGCGGUGAAUACGUUCCCGGGUCUUGUACACACCGCCGUCACUGUAAGUGCGGUUUACCGAAGUAGUUAGCCUAGCCGUAAGGAGGCGAUUACCACAGUAGGAUUU